CCGUAAAAUAGAUCUAAUUUUUUUCUUUUUACGAGUUUUCAAGGGUUUUUACAAAAUUUACUGAAUAUAAAAUUUCAAUAUAGUGUAUACUAUUAUAUAGAAUCAAAUUUCUAUUUGUGAUCUGCUGUCAGAAUCCAGACGCAGAUCAGUAAAUGUUCAUUGCUCUUCUCAAAAAAACUAAAAUCUUAUACGCGCACAAGACCAAGAAGAGUCGUGUCCAUUUCAAACGUUAUCUUGAUUUAAAACUCACCUACACCCCGAGUAUAUAGUAUUCGAGAGAAUAUAGUAUUCGCCAGUCAUAUUAUACAAUGAUCACCAAAAAAGUCACAUAAUUUCUAUAAUAAAUAAGAUAACAUGUGUAUAUCCGGGUUGUGGCAGUAGUUUGAAAAAUUAUCUUUGAUAAAGUUAAGGAUCCAUAUGAUGAUGUUUAGAAGCUUUUACUUCUGUUAAGAGGAAUGUGUUGUAUAAUUAGUUCACCAGCAUUAAGUUUCAAUCAGGUAGCAAUUUUAUCGAAUAUUGUAUCUUAUUAUAUACAUUCAAGAACCACGUGUUUUACAGAACCGCUAAGACUAAAGCACGAAUUCCUUAUGCACUAUCAAAAAUCGUUUUACGAAUUCGGGACAUUAAAACACGUUUGGACGCUUAGAUUCGAAUCAAAGCAUAGCUAUUUUCGCAGUAUUGUAGAAAGCUUGAGGAAUUUUGAAAAAUUGCAUAUGACUUUAACCGAAAAGCAUGAACACAUAUAUUACUAGCUUGCCAAAUAAAACUGAAAUUUCUUCAUUAAUAAAUGAUUAUAUUUCAAACAAUUCAAAGACAAUGUUAUACAUCGCAAAGACUGUUACUUUUUGUAAUGUACAAUAUUCCGAAAAUAUCUGUAUAUGCAUAGGUAAAAAUACGUUUGGGAACUUUGUAAUCUGUAACAUAAAAUAUAUAUUAAUUAAUGAUAAAUUCAAAUACAAAUUCAAUUGUGUUGGGAGAACUGAUGAGAUUAUUUCCUUCGAAGAGUUAGGAGUUUAUGAGAAAGUAGAAUACAAAGGUUCAGAAAAUAGAUCCCGAUGGCUUAGUAUUUUUCCAUACUCCUACCUUUUAUCACUUGAUCCUUUACCAACAUAUAAUUUGAGAUCCUAUCCUAUUUACUUAAUAAAAUAUUUGCCAUUUGAUCCGAUGGCUUAAAAAAUAGUGAGUAUAGAUUGUCUAUUAAGCAAUAUGUGAUUGCAAUUUUAAGUUAAACUAUUGUUUUGUUACAAAAUGCGCAAAACUAUAAUUCUUCAUCGUUUCAUGCAUGUUUCUCAGGUAUAUGUAAUCAUAUCAUACAUAUAAUAAUGUAUGUAGAAACAUAUACUUUUUUAUUAAUUUACACACAGCUUCUUUAUUUAUUUUUCAUUAAUGCUUCGAAUUCUAUCAAUGGUUCAAAAGAAAAAAAGAAUCACUUUAACAAAAUAAAUAUUAUUACAUAAAAGUUGUCUACUUAAUUUAUUUAUAAUUAAUUAUUGUUUCUCAUAUCAGAUGCUGCCAAUAAAAGUUUGUAUCCGCGAUCGGGUACGCCGAUCUGCUGUCCUUGUAAAGAAGAAGUCGGAUACAUUAGUCAGCGAUGUCAUUUCCGCAGCCAGUAAAAAAUUCCAGAUACCUGGCUAUUCUUUAGUAUUAGAAGAAGACGGAAUUGAUAUUGAUGACAAUUUUCUAGUAAUAGAAUGGAAGGACAAGCUAUUUAUGCUUCUACAGGAAAACGAAAGUUGGUUUCCAAGCAAACGUACAUCGAGUGAAUGGAAAUCUUCUUCCCAAGAAAACGAAUCUCUUAAUAUUGCAACAGUGUUCCAGAAACGAAUGUACUUCAUCAGAUGAGAAAAGUGUCGAAAGUAGUAAAAAUGAUGCUCCAGACAAGAAGCGACAAAAAAUAUCACACAAUACAGAUUGGGAAACCGUUGAAGUUCCAUGGAGUAGAUUCGAUUCUAAUUCGCUGUUUUGUUUCUCAAAUAAUUGGGUUGGUCUCAAGAAAAAAGUGCAAGAUUCCUUAACCACACGAGCUGUUCAUUACGUUGUGGAUCACGUACAUGAAACCACAGAUCAUGCUCCAGCAGCUGCAUUUCGAUCGCUAGCAAGAAAAAUGUGCUAAUGUCUUCGAGGAUGAAUUGUCUGGUGGAACUCAAAAAGGCACAGGAUUCGCUACUCUUGAAAGUAAAUUAAUUCAAAGAAAUAGAUACCUGAAUCAUCCGCACAUGACAAAUAGUCUGCAACGCACCUUAAAGCUUCCUUUAAAAGAUUCCAGAAAAUACAAAGCAGUUCAAUCUGGUUGGUUAUUACAGUUCAAUCUGGUGGUUGUUCAAUGGUAACCAAAUUUUCAAGAAGGGCACAAUGAAAGCACAACUGAGGUGUUGAGAGUGCAGUUUAUAAAUUUUUAUCCUGUUGAGCUUCUAGACGAAAACCAAUUUUCCGAAUGUGUCAACAAUUUCGAUGCUUGUUUCGCAUUACAAAGGCUGCACUUGAAUAAUAAAGAACAUCCAACUGCAGGAACUAUUAAAGAGCAGUGGCCAUGUUUAUUUUCGUACGAAUAUGCAGAUAUUCAUUUUCAGUUGCUUAAUGGAAAACAAACAGAUAAAUUUAACGACCGUUUUGAUGAAUAUACUGAAAAAAUUUUAAUACAUGGUCAUAUAGCAACUGAUGCAGUCGUAACUGAUCAUUUCAGAAAUUGAAGCGUCAUAAAUAUAAUUUUUAACUAUUUUGGUGAAGACUAUGCUAAUCUUUUUACUGUUGUAGAGACAGACUUUCCCAUUGAGAAUGUUGCAACAAAAAAUCAUUCUCACAUUAUUGUUUUUGGCGUCUUACCAAAAGAUGAUGACACCGAUACUGAUCAUGCCAAAACUUAUUGCGUUGUGGUCGAUGGUAUAGCUUUUCCAAAGACUCAAUGUCUGCUCAAUUCAUGCUCUUAAAUAUUUAGUUGUGGCAUUUUUCAAUUUUAAUCACACGUAUCAAAAUGCAUUUGCACAUUUUAUGGAAUUUAUUCAGAGAUGUUUUAUGGAAAUUUAUCCCAUAGAAGCUAAUAGAAGUAAUGCACGAGUUAUAAAAAAAGUUGAAACUUUUAUAAAAAAAAACUACAGCAAUAGAAAUACAAGAAAUCGUUUAGAGACUCUAAUUAUUUGAACAGUAAAGUAGCUUAUUUGCUUGCGAACAGUAUUUGACAAACAGUCAUAAAUAAAUACUCUCUAAAUCUAAAAUACUGCAAAUUUUCUAAAUCAGAUACACUGUUUUUGCAACUGUUUCGAACUGUCAGAUUUAGAGAGUAUGAUUGCGAUAUACCAACUAUUUUUAAUAAUAGCUUCAAUACUUGAAGUAUCGUUUAUGUUCCUCUGUAUUUUUGUACUUAAUACAUGU
This 3369-nucleotide long non-coding RNA is filed under the name Nasonia vitripennis (jewel wasp). Its description in RNAcentral is "uncharacterized LOC107982110". Lineage: Eukaryota; Metazoa; Arthropoda; Insecta; Hymenoptera; Pteromalidae. The record is from RNAcentral.